Molecule: transfer RNA, 71 nt
Filed under: Cordylochernes scorpioides
Lineage: Eukaryota; Metazoa; Arthropoda; Arachnida; Pseudoscorpiones; Chernetidae
Description: tRNA-Gly
Source: RNAcentral
UGCAUCGGCCGGGAAUCGAACCCAGGCAGCCCGCGUGGCAGGCGAGCAUUCUACCACUGAACCACCGAUGG